GACGAACGCUGGCGGCGUGCUUAACACAUGCAAGUCGAACGGAAAGGCCCUGCUUUGGUGGGGUGCUCGAGUGGCGAACGGGUGAGUAACACGUGAGUAACCUGCCCUUGACUUUGGGAUAACUUCAGGAAACUGGGGCUAAUACCGGAUAGGAGCUCGUUCCGCAUGGUGGCGUUCGGAAAGGUUCGGCGGUUGGGGAUGGACUCGCGGCCUAUCAGCUUGUUGGUGGGGUAAUGGCUUACCAAGGCUUCGACGGGUAGCCGGCCUGAGAGGGGGACCGGGGCCACUGGGGCUGAGGCACGGCGCAGAACCCCCCGGGGGGCAGAAGGGGGGAAAAUUUUACAAAGGGGGAGAGCGAGAUGCGGCGAAGCCGCGGGUGGGAGAUAGGGCCUUCGGGUUUAAAACCCGUUUAGCAGGGAAGGAGCGAAAGGGACGGGACAUGGAGAAAAAAGCACGGGCUAACUACGU
This 468-nucleotide ribosomal RNA is filed under the name uncultured bacterium. RNAcentral's name for it is "partial 16S ribosomal RNA". It matches the Rfam family "Bacterial small subunit ribosomal RNA", at positions 28 to 506 of the family's 1533-position model. The record is from RNAcentral.